RNAcentral lists this ribosomal RNA (1017 nucleotides) under Bacillus velezensis. Its description in RNAcentral is "bacterial SSU rRNA". It matches the Rfam family "Bacterial small subunit ribosomal RNA", at positions 37 to 1040 of the family's 1533-position model. The record is from RNAcentral. Lineage: Bacteria; Bacillati; Bacillota; Bacilli; Caryophanales; Bacillaceae.
GAGGGGCGGUGCUAUACAUGCAAGUCGAGCGGACAGAUGGGAGCUUGCUCCCUGAUGUUAGCGGCGGACGGGUGAGUAACACGUGGGUAACCUGCCUGUAAGACUGGGAUAACUCCGGGAAACCGGGGCUAAUACCGGAUGGUUGUUUGAACCGCAUGGUUCAGACAUAAAAGGUGGCUUCGGCUACCACUUACAGAUGGACCCGCGGCGCAUUAGCUAGUUGGUGAGGUAACGGCUCACCAAGGCGACGAUGCGUAGCCGACCUGAGAGGGUGAUCGGCCACACUGGGACUGAGACACGGCCCAGACUCCUACGGGAGGCAGCAGUAGGGAAUCUUCCGCAAUGGACGAAAGUCUGACGGAGCAACGCCGCGUGAGUGAUGAAGGUUUUCGGAUCGUAAAGCUCUGUUGUUAGGGAAGAACAAGUGCCGUUCAAAUAGGGCGGCACCUUGACGGUACCUAACCAGAAAGCCACGGCUAACUACGUGCCAGCAGCCGCGGUAAUACGUAGGUGGCAAGCGUUGUCCGGAAUUAUUGGGCGUAAAGGGCUCGCAGGCGGUUUCUUAAGUCUGAUGUGAAAGCCCCCGGCUCAACCGGGGAGGGUCAUUGGAAACUGGGGAACUUGAGUGCAGAAGAGGAGAGUGGAAUUCCACGUGUAGCGGUGAAAUGCGUAGAGAUGUGGAGGAACACCAGUGGCGAAGGCGACUCUCUGGUCUGUAACUGACGCUGAGGAGCGAAAGCGUGGGGAGCGAACAGGAUUAGAUACCCUGGUAGUCCACGCCGUAAACGAUGAGUGCUAAGUGUUAGGGGGUUUCCGCCCCUUAGUGCUGCAGCUAACGCAUUAAGCACUCCGCCUGGGGAGUACGGUCGCAAGACUGAAACUCAAAGGAAUUGACGGGGGCCCGCACAAGCGGUGGAGCAUGUGGUUUAAUUCGAAGCAACGCGAAGAACCUUACCAGGUCUUGACUCCUCUGACAUCCUAGAGAUAGGACGUCCCCUUCGGGGCAAGUGACAGGUG